GCAUUGGUGGUUCAGUGGUAGAAUUCUCACCUUCCAUGCGGGAGACCUGGGUUUUAUUCCCAGCCAGUGUG
This 71-nucleotide transfer RNA is filed under the name Loxodonta africana (African savanna elephant). It matches the Rfam family "tRNA". From Rfam's summary of the family: Transfer RNA (tRNA) molecules are approximately 80 nucleotides in length. Their secondary structure includes four short double-helical elements and three loops (D, anti-codon, and T loops). Further hydrogen bonds mediate the characteristic L-shaped molecular structure. tRNAs have two regions of fundamental functional importance: the anti-codon, which is responsible for specific mRNA codon recognition, and the 3' end, to which the tRNAs corresponding amino acid is attached (by aminoacyl-tRNA synthetases). tRNAs cope with the degeneracy of the genetic code in two manners: having more than one tRNA (with a specific anti-codon) for a particular amino acid; and 'wobble' base-pairing, i.e. permitting non-standard base-pairing at the 3rd anti-codon position. Lineage: Eukaryota; Metazoa; Chordata; Mammalia; Proboscidea; Elephantidae. The record is from Rfam by way of RNAcentral.